CUGACGGCUGCCUCACUCUGGCUAGGCUUGGGCUUCUGGUAAGUGAGUGAAGGCUGCACUCUGCUGUGUUGAGCUCCCUUCUCCAUGCUCAAUUCUUGAGUACCCUCAGAAUCAGAGAGCUGGGGUGUGUCCAGGAGUAAGAAAAAGCUAACAUGCUUCUGCUCAGGAACUGUAACUUCUACCUUUCUCCUCAAGGCUGAGGUUUUUAAACUGGCCUUCAGGGGAGCCACAAACCCGCUGAGAACCCGUACCAGUUUCUGCUUGUAUGUGCACUUUUCUGGGUGGGCCCAUGGCUUCCAUUGAUUCUACCUUAGUGCAGGCUUCCAGAAAGCAAAGUAAGAGAUGGAGGACACAGGUGCUAUUACUUUAUUAUGGAGUUCAAUCUCAGCAGGAGCGAGGGACGUGGGGCACCAAGCAUAGAAAGAGCUAAUAGGAGGGCAUGUUCUACCCCUGCCCUGUGAGCUGCACCUGCAUUGUCUGGGCAUCUGGUGGGGGAGUGGGGAGGAGGCCUCUGUCAAUAGAAGAACUGGGGCCGGAGGUUUGGUGCAGUCAGGUUGUGUCUGUAGGAGGUCAAAAUCCACACAGCUGGAAUGAGAGACAGGUGAGGUCCAGAGGCUCUGCAGUGGGGCAAAGAGGUAUCUGAUGCAGAUUCUCCAACUACCUGCUUAACUUCAAGUCUGCUUCAUACAGUUGUAUGGUUUGUGCACUGCCCAAAGAUUCCUGGCUGAGGGAACAAGUUGGGACCAGAAUCUGACCUGAGCUCUCUUUACAGAGUCUUGUACCUUUGUCCACCCAGAGCAGGUGCCUUUUCCAAAUUAGCUCAGGGGGAGCUCUCUUCACCUGGUUUUCCAAAGUGACCAGUCAGGGGUAGGUUGCCCCGUGUAUUAGUCCAUUUUCAUGCUGCUGAUAAAGAUGUACCUGAGACUGGGUAAUUUAUAAAGAAAAAGAGGUUUAAUGGACUCACAGAUCCAUGUGGCUGGGGAGGCCUCACAAUCAUGGCAGAAGGCAAAAGUCACAUCUUACAUGGUGGCAGACGAGAGAAAAUGAACACCAAGCAAAAGUAUGUUCCCUUUAUAAAAUCAUCAGAUCUCGUGAGACUUAUUCACUACCACAAGAACAGUAUGGGGAAAACCACCUCCAUGAUUCAGUUGUCUCCCACUGGGUCCCACCCACAACACGUGGAAAUUAUGGGAACUACAAUUCAAGAUGAGAUUUGAGUGGGGACACAGCCAAACUAUAUCACCCCGUCCAGCCUCCUUUUCCUUAGCUCCCUUCACAUUCUAGUUUCUGCCUGAGCCAUCAGGCCCUGUGGCCCAGACCAGGCAUCUUGAACUAUAUCCCAGACCCUCCUCAUGAACAGAAUCACUGCUCAAAAGUCCUCCUUUUUUCACCUGCCCUGUGCUCUAGUCUAGAUUCUGAUUUCUUGUGGUGAGUUGGUGUUGCCUUGGAUUUCUUGUGCCUGCUCAGAUCUGUGGAUUUGGCCCUAGGUCCUUUUUCUUUCUUCCUGUUGGCCUCCUCAGCUCCCUCCCUCCUUUCUGCCAGGUAUUCCCUGCAGGCCUCAGCGUCAGGGCUACCUCUAUUGACAGGGGAUCCUUGGGCGUUCGGGCCAUAGUUUUUCUUUGGUGAAUAAAUAUGUAUGGCUUACAAAACAUGUGUUUCUAAAUUUAUGAAAUUAUAUGUAUGUUUAUACAUUCAUUCGUGCUUUCAUUUAGCCAACAUUUAUUAAGUUUUUUACAUAGCAGAAACCACUUCAUAACUGUGAGACUCUGGAUAAAUCACUUAAGUUUCCUGAGUGUCAUUUUCUUCUCUGUGAAAUGGAGGUAAUAAUGAUUGGCUCCGGUGUGGUCCUGCACCUUGAACAAGAUAGUGGACUUUAAAGGGCUUCAUCAGAUGCCAGCCCAGAAGGUGUCCAGUGGGUAAGAAUGUCCCCCCUGAUGCCAUCCCUUCAUCUGGUUCCCAGUGGGGAAUAUGAUGAAGUGGCUGCUACCCAGGAGCUCAUGGCCAUUCUGCUUAGUUCCAGUAUACACGAGCUCUCUGGGGAUGGCACCUCUCACUCUGCCAUGCAGUGGUGAGAAGUAACUAUUCUGGAAUUGUCUUAUCUCAGCCCUACAUACUAUUUUCAGUGUCUGUGUUUCAUUUUUCUUCUAGAACAUGCCUCCCAGAGUUGUUGAAAUAAUUAAGCUAGGUGCUAUAUGAAGAGAACUUAGUGUGUGGCACAUAAACAAUAAGGGUUCAAUAAAUAGUGGCUGUCAUCAUCCUCGUCAUUCUAUAGCCAAUGAGAGAAGUGAGUUGAAAUAAAACCUGGCUUAAGAGCCAGUUAUAUUUGAAAUUAUUAGUGUUGGCUCGUUGCCUGUGGGUGUCUGGAGAAAACCAUUGGUUCCAGUUCCUGGAAACAGACCAAGCCAGUGCAAAGGUUUCUUGAUGUAAGAACACAGUGAAUCUGGUCCUGCAAGUAGGCAGAUGCCCUGGACUACCAUUAUGGUAUGUGGCCUUGUCAUCUGGGGUCUUGAAUUAGGGUUUUCAUCUCUCUGGGUUCACCUCGCACGCUGCUUGGUCUUUAGAAUAAAGAUUGAGGUUAUCAAGACCUAGAAAAAUGACUUUUCUGAACUUGAAAUAUUUCCUUUGAAUGCUCAGGAGUCAAUAUACUUUUGUUAUUCAGAACACGGAUUCCAAGUUAGAUAUACUCAAUUUGAAUCUCACCUGUCAUUGAUAGAAUUAUCCGUGUAACUUUGUGAAAACCACCUAACUUCCCUGUACCUUAGUUUCAUUGUCAGGAAAAACUAUGGUAAUAAUUAUAACUACCUUGUAUUGUUGUUUCAAGGAUUAAAUUUGAAAUGCACAAAAAUCCUUUAGUACAGUCCCAGGUAGAGAAUAAGUGCUGUUAUUAUUAUUUUAAAAAUUUUGUCCCCAACUUUUUAUUGUGAAAAUUUCAAAAUUAUAGAGGUUGAAAAAAUAGUGCAAUAAACAUCCAUAUACUC
RNAcentral lists this long non-coding RNA (2978 nucleotides) under Homo sapiens (human). Its description in RNAcentral is "HSALNT0023561". Lineage: Eukaryota; Metazoa; Chordata; Mammalia; Primates; Hominidae. The record is from RNAcentral.